This 76-nucleotide transfer RNA is filed under the name Burkholderiales bacterium. RNAcentral's name for it is "tRNA-Arg". It matches the Rfam family "tRNA". Rfam says of the family: Transfer RNA (tRNA) molecules are approximately 80 nucleotides in length. Their secondary structure includes four short double-helical elements and three loops (D, anti-codon, and T loops). The record is from RNAcentral. RNAcentral also lists the same sequence under 5 other names. Lineage: Bacteria; Pseudomonadati; Pseudomonadota; Betaproteobacteria; Burkholderiales.
GCCCCGGUAGCUCAGUGGAUAGAGCAACCCCCUCCUAAGGGGUAGGUCGCACGUUCGAUUCGUGUUCGGGGCGCCA